RNAcentral lists this long non-coding RNA (1743 nucleotides) under Gossypium raimondii (Peruvian cotton). Its description in RNAcentral is "long non-coding RNA (GRAI_LNC005341)". The record is from RNAcentral. Lineage: Eukaryota; Viridiplantae; Streptophyta; Magnoliopsida; Malvales; Malvaceae.
GAGACAGUAGCAAAAAUUGAAGAAAAAGAAGUCUCCUAUUUUCAUUUCGAUCCUAAAUUACUAAGGUAAAAAUGUUACUUUUUAUUCGAUUUUUGUGAAUUUAUAAUCAUCCAAACUUAGUAUGUCUUACACAUGUGUUAGAAUUUCAAAUCAUUAAGUUAAAUACAAGUUGUCAUUAAUGGAUUUUUUAUGAACUUAAGCUUGAAAUUGAUCCACGUUUAAUUAUUAAGUUUAGAUUUUGUUAAGAUUGAAUCAAAAGAUAGUGAAAUUAGCUUAGAUUUAAAGGUUUAAGUAUAUAGUUAAUUUUUUAUAUUAAUGACUAAAUUGAAUAAAUUGAAAGCUAUUAAGAAAUUGUGCCAUAGAUUAAAAGUAUGAGGUCCCUAGUGAAUAAAUAUAAAAUCAAAAUUUGAUUAGAUGCUAAAUAAUAUCAAAAGAUACGAGCAUUUCAGAUAUAAAGACUAAAAUGAAUAAUAUACAAAUUAUGUUAAAUCGUUGUGUUUCAUGUGUUUGUGUGAAACUAAUAUUAUUUAUUAUCAAAUUUAUCGUACGUAGUCAAAAACGACGUUAAAUUUAUCGUAUGUAGUCAAAAACGACAUUAGGUAGUCUUGAGAUAAAGGAAAGGCAAAAAUUGUAUACGAGUAACCUAUUUUUGUUUGUGCUUUCAUGAUUUGUUUUCAAUACAUAGCUUGAUAAGGGUUGAAUUGAUUAACGUAAUGCUUAUAUUCUUGUCUCAUGAAAGGUGAGCAAACUUAUAUUGUGAUUAAAUUAUGAAAGGUCAUGAAAGUAUAAACUAGUACAUAUUAUGAGAAUUGAUAUGUAAAUGAUUUGAUUAUGACAUGAAAUUCCUAUACAAUGACUUGGGACAUGAAAUAUAUAUAUAUGCUUUGAAACAAUUAAUAUCCCAUUAACGGUCCUGGAUUGAGUUGGGUAUAGUUGGCGUAUCAUAGGAUUAGUGUACGGGAUUUUACUUUGAUUUAUACCGAUGAGGCGUGGAGCGCACAUUAUACUUCAAACGUACUGAUUAGGUGCCAGGCACAUUUAUAUAUUUACUUCGAUUUAUACCAAUGAGGCGUCAAGUGCAAUAUACUUCGGAUGUAUCGAUGAUGCAAUGAGUGUUAAUUAUAUUGGUGUGAUGGUUGGAUGAUUCGUGUAUUCGUCUUGAGUUUGUGUCCAGUUAAUAGGGAUUAUAAAAUAUGCAAAUUGAUAAACGAUAAUGAAUAUUGAAUUGAAUGAUGAUGUUGAUUUUUGUAUGUGUAUAUUAUAGCAUAGAUAAUAGCAUGUGAAAGAUCAUGUGAUAUGGUUAUAACAAGUGUCGAAACCACCUUUUUGAAAACAAAAAGGUUCGUAGUAGUCGACUUAAAAACGCAAUUUUGGGAGUCGCCACCGAUCUUUUAAAGAGGUGUGAUCGGGUCACCUUGGAAACGAUUUUAGGUCUACGAAUUUUGAGAAAAUAGGUUCGGGAGUCGGUUACGCACGAGGAAGGGUUAGCACCCUCGUAACGCCCAAAAUUGGUACCGAACCGAUCGUUUAAUGUCUUAGUCUCGAGAAUUUGAAAAGAUUUUAAAAUACGAUCCUUCCUUUUUAUUAAUGUUAAUUUUAUAAAAGAUGCUUGGAUAAAUCGAGGCGAAUGUUAAAGACCUUCUCAUAUCAGAGUAAUGAAAUGUCACACCUAAUACAUUAGGACACAACAUUUUUAGUCCUCGAGAAUAAGCUUGUCUUUUGAUUUUCAAAACUCUUGCGGUG